RNAcentral lists this ribosomal RNA (253 nucleotides) under uncultured bacterium. RNAcentral's name for it is "partial 16S ribosomal RNA". It matches the Rfam family "Bacterial small subunit ribosomal RNA", at positions 524 to 776 of the family's 1533-position model. The record is from RNAcentral.
UACAGAGGUCCCGAGCGUUGUUCGGAUUCACUGGGCGUAAAGGGUGCGUAGGUGGUGAGGUAAGUCGGAUGUGAAAUCUCCAAGCUCAACUUGGAAACUGCAUUGGAAACUACCUUGCUAGAGGAUUUGAGGGGGGAUUGGAAUACUUGGUGUAGCAGUGAAAUGCGUAGGUAUCAAGUGGAACACCAGUGGCGAAGGCGAAUCCCUGGAAAAUACCUGACACUGAGACACGAAAGCUAGGGGAGCAAACAGG